This 71-nucleotide transfer RNA is filed under the name Armatimonadota bacterium. It matches the Rfam family "tRNA". From Rfam's summary of the family: Transfer RNA (tRNA) molecules are approximately 80 nucleotides in length. Their secondary structure includes four short double-helical elements and three loops (D, anti-codon, and T loops). Further hydrogen bonds mediate the characteristic L-shaped molecular structure. tRNAs have two regions of fundamental functional importance: the anti-codon, which is responsible for specific mRNA codon recognition, and the 3' end, to which the tRNAs corresponding amino acid is attached (by aminoacyl-tRNA synthetases). tRNAs cope with the degeneracy of the genetic code in two manners: having more than one tRNA (with a specific anti-codon) for a particular amino acid; and 'wobble' base-pairing, i.e. permitting non-standard base-pairing at the 3rd anti-codon position. The record is from Rfam by way of RNAcentral. Lineage: Bacteria; Bacillati; Armatimonadota.
CGGGGUGUAGUGAAGUGGGAUAACCCGUGCCUUGGGAGCACAAGUCGGCAGUUCGAUUCUGCCCACCCCGA